AGUGAACGCUGGCGGUAGGCCUAACACAUGCAAGUCGAACGGCAGCACAGUAAGAGCCUGCUCUUACGGGUGGCGAGUGGCGGACGGGUGAGGAAUACAUCGGAAUCUACUUUUUCGUGGGGGAUAACGUAGGGAAACUUACGCUAAUACCGCAUACGACCUACGGGUGAAAGCAGGGGAUCUUCGGACCUUGCGCGAUUGAAUGAGCCGAUGUCGGAUUAGCUAGUUGGCGGGGUAAAGGCCCACCAAGGCGACGAUCCGUAGCUGGUCUGAGAGGAUGAUCAGCCACACUGGGACUGAGACACGGUCCAGACUCCUACGGGAGGCAGCAGUGGGGAAUAUUGGACAAUGGGCGCAAGCCUGAUCCAGCCAUACCGCGUGGGUGAAGAAGGCCUUCGGGUUGUAAGGCCCUUUUGUUGGGAAAGAAAAGCAGCAGGUUAAUACCCCGCUGUUCUGACGGUACCCAAAGAAUAAGCACCGGCUAACUUCGUG
Molecule: ribosomal RNA, 492 nt
Filed under: uncultured bacterium
Lineage: Bacteria
Description: partial 16S ribosomal RNA
Rfam family: Bacterial small subunit ribosomal RNA
Source: RNAcentral